Molecule: small RNA, 58 nt
Filed under: Salmonella enterica
Lineage: Bacteria; Pseudomonadati; Pseudomonadota; Gammaproteobacteria; Enterobacterales; Enterobacteriaceae
Also listed under: 2 other names
Description: partial RtT sRNA
Rfam family: RtT RNA
About the family: This family represents a bacterial cis-regulatory element known as RtT RNA. The exact function of RtT is unknown although it is thought that it may be involved in changing the cellular response in relation to amino acid starvation.
Source: RNAcentral
ACGGCAACGGCCCGAAGGGCGAAGCGCGCAGCGCUGAGUCAUCCUUCCCCCACCACCA